UUACGGGGGGAACGCGAAGAACCUUACCAGGUCUUGACAUCCUUUGACCAUUCUGGAGACAGAACUUUCCCUUCGGGGACAAAGUGACAGGUGGUGCAUGGUUGUCGUCAGCUCGUGUCGUGAGAUGUUGGGUUAAGUCCCGCAACGAGCGCAACCCUUGAUUUUAGUUGCCAGCAUUUAGUUGGGCACUUUAAAGUGACUGCCGGUGUAAGCCGGAGGAAGGUGGGGAUGACGUCAAAUCAUCAUGCCCCUUAUGACCUGGGCUACACACGUGCUACAAUGGAUAAUACAAAGGGUCGCGAAGCCGCGAGGUGGAGCCAAUCCCAUAAAAUUAUUCUCAGUUCGGAUUGCAGGCUGCAACUCGCCUGCACGAAACCAAAUCGCUUU
Molecule: ribosomal RNA, 387 nt
Filed under: uncultured Brochothrix sp.
Lineage: Bacteria; Bacillati; Bacillota; Bacilli; Caryophanales; Listeriaceae
Description: bacterial SSU rRNA
Rfam family: Bacterial small subunit ribosomal RNA
Source: RNAcentral